RNAcentral lists this ribosomal RNA (468 nucleotides) under uncultured bacterium. RNAcentral's name for it is "partial 16S ribosomal RNA". It matches the Rfam family "Bacterial small subunit ribosomal RNA", at positions 28 to 507 of the family's 1533-position model. The record is from RNAcentral.
GACGAACGCUGGCGGCGUGCUUAACACAUGCAAGUCGAACGGUGAAGCUCCAGCUUGCUGGAGUGGAUCAGUGGCGAACGGGUGAGUAACACGUGAGCAACCUGCCCCAGACUCUGGAAUAAGCGCUGGAAACGGCGUCUAAUACUGGAUACGAGAUCAAGCCGCAUGGUUAUGGUCUGGAAAGUUUUUCGGUUUGGGAUGGGCUCGCGGCCCAUCAGCUUGUUGGUGAGGUAAUGGCUCACCAAGGCGACGACGGGUAGCCGGCCUGAGAGGGCGACCGGCCACACUGGGACUGAGACACGGCCCAGACUCCUACGGGAGGCAGCAGUGGGGAAUAUUGCACAAUGGGCGAAAGCCUGAUGCAGCGACGCCGCGUGAGGGAUGACGGCCUUCGGGUUGUAAACCUCUUUCAGCAGGGAAGAAGCGAAAGUGACGGUACCUGCAGAAGAAGCACCGGCUAACUACGUG